This 583-nucleotide unclassified non-coding RNA is filed under the name Hevea brasiliensis (rubber tree). The record is from RNAcentral. Lineage: Eukaryota; Viridiplantae; Streptophyta; Magnoliopsida; Malpighiales; Euphorbiaceae.
GAUUUCUUUUCAUUUUAUUCUUGGUUCUUGUGUCGUUCCUUUUUCUUGGAUUUUAUAUUAGCGUUCUUGAAACUUCUGAUGAUGUUUGUUCCAGAACUUGAUUCAGGUUCCAAUUAGAUUGUUUUCCUUGAUUCAAGGAUUUCUUUCUGGAAAUUUGGAGUUUAUAGGUGAAAUCCAAUUGAUAUAUGUAAUUAAUUCCUCGGCUGGAUGAUUUUUGUGACGAACAUUCAAGAACUUAUAGAACCCCAACAAUAUAGAAUUGCUUUCUCAAUGAUGAUAAUUCUAUUUGUUUUGACUAAACAAGAUUUGUAUGGUAGAAGCAGAAUCUUAUAGUACUGCAAGAAACUAUAGGCUAUGGUAACCCUAUGGCAGGAACUAAAUAAGAAAAAUGCUUUUUUAUCUUCUCAGUCUCACUUAUCUGAAAGUAGAUUUUGGAUGUUGCAGUGCUUUACCAAAAUAUAUGUGAUCAAAAACUUCUCACAUAAUAAAUUUCUGAUAUGAUCAAACAGAAUUUUAUAUCUAAAUAUAAUGAUCUAGUGUUACAAUUUUUAUUGUUUUUGUUCCUUUUCUCAUUGAGUUUUCA